CAGCAGAGCUGGCUGGCAGCUCCCGCGUGUCUGACAGCAUCAGUGCCGAGCAACGUCUGGAUAUGUCACCCACUGUGCCUGAGCUGGGCAUGUGCCAGCUGUCCCCUGGCCGAGCGGAGCAGCCCUCUGCCCUCAGGGAUGGAUCAGGCAGAGUGGUGCCACAGGUGGUGCUGGCAGCGCUGGACCCCACGGGCCCUGGCAAUGAGCAGGAGGUGCCUUCUAGUGCAGCAGUCUCUGGGGAGGUGGCAGGAUGGGACAGUCCCCAGGCAGGGCUUGCCUACCCAAAACAAACCGACUGGCCGACCAGUGUCCCCAUGGCUCCUGGCGCCACUCAGAUCUCGUCCCCUGUGCCAAGUGGGCACACAAUGGCUGUUACCCAUGGGAACAGGGAUGUAGAGCCAGCCACAGCCACGCUGUCCUCAGCUCUACAUGUACCUACAGAGAAGAGGACAGGCACCCUGGUGCUAUUAGGCAGCAGCACCACUCCUACAAAGUCUGUGGGAGAACACAGUGCUCUGCAGAGCACCACUGGGCAGCCCACGCUGGGCACAGCCAUCCCUUUGCAAGAGGGGACCGUGGCCAAUGAACGUAUGGAAGCCACCAGCAUGCUGACAGGAGAUGUCCCAGCACCCACUGGAGGUUUGUCACCAUCAGUGACACAUGUUCCUGCAACUCCUUUGGUGCUGGGAACAGAAGCACCUUCCUCAGCCACCAGCACAGCGAAUGAUGACAAUGGGUUGGGGCAGCCUCACAGUGCUGUCACUGCGGAGGGGACACCGGGGACAGCACAGGGCACGGUGCUGUCUGAUGUCCAACACAGCACGGGGACACCACCCCACUCCCUCACCUGGAUCCCAGCUGAGCUGCACACAGCCGCUGUGCGCCUGUCCCAGGAGGUAAUGCCAGGGCUGGCCGAG
RNAcentral lists this long non-coding RNA (917 nucleotides) under Gallus gallus (chicken). Its description in RNAcentral is "lncRNA (ENSGALG00010018741.1)". Lineage: Eukaryota; Metazoa; Chordata; Aves; Galliformes; Phasianidae. The record is from RNAcentral.